This 1025-nucleotide ribosomal RNA is filed under the name Cordyceps sp. BCC12807. RNAcentral's name for it is "SSU rRNA". It matches the Rfam family "Eukaryotic small subunit ribosomal RNA", at positions 87 to 1123 of the family's 1831-position model. RNAcentral also lists the same sequence under 1 other name. Lineage: Eukaryota; Fungi; Ascomycota; Sordariomycetes; Hypocreales; Cordycipitaceae. The record is from RNAcentral.
AUGCGAAAGGCGCUUUAUAUAAGUUAUCGUUUAUUUGAUGGUACCUAACUACUUGGAUAACCGUGGUAAUUCUAGAGCUAAUACAUGCUAAAAAUCCCGACUUCGGAAGGGAUGUAUUUAUUAGAUUAAAAACCAAUGCCCUCUGGGCUCCUUGGUGAUUCAUGAUAACUCUUCGAAUCGCACGGCCUUGCGCCGGCGAUGGUUCAUUCAAAUUUCUUCCCUAUCAACUUUCGAUGUUUGGGUAUUGGCCAAACAUGGUUGCAACGGGUAACGGAGGGUUAGGGCUCGACCCCGGAGAAGGAGCCUGAGAAACGGCUACUACAUCCAAGGAAGGCAGCAGGCGCGCAAAUUACCCAAUCCCGAUUCGGGGAGGUAGUGACAAUAAAUACUGAUACAGGGCUCUUUUGGGUCUUGUAAUUGGAAUGAGUACAAUUUAAAUCUCUUAACGAGGAACAAUUGGAGGGCAAGUCUGGUGCCAGCAGCCGCGGUAAUUCCAGCUCCAAUAGCGUAUAUUAAAGUUGUUGUGGUUAAAAAGCUCGUAGUUGAACCUUGGGCCUGGCUGGCCGGUCCGCCUCACCGCGUGCACUGGUCCGGCCGGGCCUUUCCCUCUGUGGAACCCCAUGCCCUUCACUGGGCGUGGCGGGGAAACAGGACGUUUACUUUGAAAAAAUUAGAGUGCUCCAGGCAGGCCUAUGCUCGAAUACAUUAGCAUGGAAUAAUGAAAUAGGACGCGUGGUUCUAUUUUGUUGGUUUCUAGGACCGCCGUAAUGAUUAAUAGGGACAGUCGGGGGCAUCAGUAUUCAAUUGUCAGAGGUGAAAUUCUUGGAUUUAUUGAAGACUAACUACUGCGAAAGCAUUUGCCAAGGAUGUUUUCAUUAAUCAGGAACGAAAGUUAGGGGAUCGAAGACGAUCAGAUACCGUCGUAGUCUUAACCAUAAACUAUGCCGACUAGGGAUCGGACGAUGUUAUUUUUUGACGCGUUCGGCACCUUACGAGAAAUCAAAGUGCUUGGGCUCCAGGGGGAG